AUGGAGUCCGGCUCCCCGGCAAUCGCUGCCGGAUCAUCUGGAACAUCCUCGUCCUUGCUCAUUCCGCAAAUGUACACCUCCCCUGUUCAAGGACAAACAGCAACAACUAGAUGUUUAAACAUGGGUGCCGUUCAGUUUGAUGCACACAUACUUCAGCUUGAAGAACUGCGUACCCGUGGGGCGCGGGUAGACCUCCGGGUCGAGCAUCUUGCCGCCGGGCUCCGGCUGGUAGCUCAGGAACAGGCAGUGCGGCGUGAUCUUGUCGGGGUUGCGCGGCCGGAGCACGAUGCUGUGCGCCUUGAGCCCGGACACGUCGAACACCUCUUUGACCAUCUCGAAACGCCCAGACCAAGGGCCGAGCGCGAGCACCACGGCAUCCGCGUCCACCACGCCGCGCCCCUUCACCGCGACGCCGACGACACGCCCUUCGUUGACCACCACGCGCUCCACCUCGCCGAUGACCGCCUCGGCGCCGGACGCGGCGAGGACGGCCUUGGUGAAGAGGCCCGGAUGGACCUGCGCGGUGGUGUCCGGAGUUCCGAGCUGGCGCGGCGGCGCGGCGGAGGCGGAGGGGUCGACCCAGGAAGGGAGGAGCGGGUGGGGUGA
This 606-nucleotide ribosomal RNA is filed under the name Triticum aestivum (bread wheat). RNAcentral describes it as "partial small subunit ribosomal RNA". The record is from RNAcentral. Lineage: Eukaryota; Viridiplantae; Streptophyta; Magnoliopsida; Poales; Poaceae.